CGAAGGGGGCUAGCGUUGUUCGGAAUUACUGGGCGUAAAGCGCGCGCAGGCGGUUCUUCAAGUCAGAGGUGAAAGCCCAGGGCUCAACCCUGGAAUGGCCUUUGAGACUAGAGAACUAGGGUACGGGAGAGGUGAGUGGAAUUCCGAGUGUAGAGGUGAAAUUCGUAGAUAUUCGGAAGAACACCAGUGGCGAAGGCGGCUCACUGGCCCGUUACCGACGCUCAGGCGCGACAGCGUGGGGAGCAAACAGGAUUAGAUACCCUGGUAGUCCACGCCGUAAACGACGGAUGCUAGCCGUUGGUAAGCAUGCUUAUCAGUGGCGCAGCUAACGCAUUAAGCGUCCCGCCUGGGGAGUACGGCCGCAAGGUUG
This 370-nucleotide ribosomal RNA is filed under the name uncultured organism. RNAcentral's name for it is "bacterial SSU rRNA". It matches the Rfam family "Bacterial small subunit ribosomal RNA", at positions 526 to 896 of the family's 1533-position model. The record is from RNAcentral.